GGAUGUGAGGGUGAUCUGGAUGCAACAUCUGUCACCCCACUGAUUUCCAGGGUUGAUUUGGCUGAUCUGGCUGGCUAGGCAGGUGUCCCUUUCCUCCCUCACCACUCAGUGUAUGUCCCUCCCGAAGCAGCGCCCUUGGUAGAAGAGGACAGCCUUCCCCAAAUAGAGACGGACCUGGUCUUCGGUCGAGUAGCUGCGCUCCCCUGCUAGAACUUCCAAACAAACUCUCAAAACUGUGAUUAAGUGACAAGUCGACAUUGACCUUUCCUUGAUCAAAAAUUUAUGAAGGUUUUUU
RNAcentral lists this small nuclear RNA (295 nucleotides) under Erinaceus europaeus (western European hedgehog). RNAcentral's name for it is "7SK RNA (ENSEEUG00000020808.1)". It matches the Rfam family "7SK RNA". Rfam says of the family: 7SK was discovered as an abundant small nuclear RNA in the mid-70s but a possible function has only recently been suggested. Two independent studies have found that 7SK RNA binds the CDK9/cyclin T complex (known as elongation factor P-TEFb). Lineage: Eukaryota; Metazoa; Chordata; Mammalia; Eulipotyphla; Erinaceidae. The record is from RNAcentral.